Molecule: ribosomal RNA, 694 nt
Filed under: uncultured bacterium
Lineage: Bacteria
Description: bacterial SSU rRNA
Rfam family: Bacterial small subunit ribosomal RNA
Source: RNAcentral
AACGCUAGCUACAGGCUUAACACAUGCAAGUCGAGGGGCAGCAUGAACUUAGCUUGCUAAGUUUGAUGGCGACCGGCGCACGGGUGAGUAACACGUAUCCAACCUCCCGCAUACUCGGGGAUAGCCUUUCGAAAGAAAGAUUAAUACCCGAUGGUUUCAAGAGUUUGCAUGAAAACUUGAAUAAAGAUUUAUUGGUAUGCGAUGGGGAUGCGUUCCAUUAGGUAGUAGGCGGGGUAACGGCCCACCUAGCCUACGAUGGAUAGGGGUUCUGAGAGGAAGGUCCCCCACAUUGGAACUGAGACACGGUCCAAACUCCUACGGGAGGCAGCAGUGAGGAAUAUUGGUCAAUGGGCGCGAGCCUGAACCAGCCAAGUAGCGUGAAGGAUGAAGGUCCUAUGGAUUGUAAACUUCUUUUAUACGGGAAUAAAGUGGCCUACGUGUAGGCUUUUGCAUGUACCGUAUGAAUAAGCAUCGGCUAACUCCGUGCCAGCAGCCGCGGUAAUACGGAGGAUGCGAGCGUUAUCCGGAUUUAUUGGGUUUAAAGGGAGCGUAGACGGGUCGUUAAGUCAGCUGUGAAAGUUUGGGGCUCAACCUUAAAAUUGCAGUUGAUACUGGCGUCCUUGAGUACGGUUGAGGCAGGCGGAAUUCGUGGUGUAGCGGUGAAAUGCUUAGAUAUCACGAAGAACUCCGAUUG